GGUCUUCAUAGCUCAGUUGGUGGAGCCCUGCAGCGCUAACACAGAGGUUAUGGGUUCGAAUCCCAUUGAAGCCC
This 74-nucleotide transfer RNA is filed under the name Acropora cervicornis. RNAcentral's name for it is "tRNA-Ser". It matches the Rfam family "tRNA". Rfam says of the family: Transfer RNA (tRNA) molecules are approximately 80 nucleotides in length. Their secondary structure includes four short double-helical elements and three loops (D, anti-codon, and T loops). The record is from RNAcentral. Lineage: Eukaryota; Metazoa; Cnidaria; Anthozoa; Scleractinia; Acroporidae.